CGGGGGGCAGCAGUGGGGAAUUUUGGACAAUGGGCGAAAGCCUGAUCCAGCCAUGCCGCGUGCAGGAUGAAGGCCUUCGGGUUGUAAACUGCUUUUGUACGGAACGAAAAGACUCCUUCUAAUACAGGGGGUCCAUGACGGUACCGUAAGAAUAAGCACCGGCUAACUACGUGCCAGCAGCCGCGGUAAUACGUAGGGUGCAAGCGUUAAUCGGAAUUACUGGGCGUAAAGCGUGCGCAGGCGGUUAUGUAAGACAGAUGUGAAAUCCCCGGGCUCAACCUGGGAACUGCAUUUGUGACUGCAUAGCUAGAGUACGGUAGAGGGGGAUGGAAUUCCGCGUGUAGCAGUGAAAUGCGUAGAUAUGCGGAGGAACACCGAUGGCGAAGGCAAUCCCCUGGACCUGUACUGACGCUCAUGCACGAAAGCGUGGGGAGCAAACAGGAUUAGAUACCCCGGU
This 457-nucleotide ribosomal RNA is filed under the name uncultured Comamonadaceae bacterium. RNAcentral's name for it is "bacterial SSU rRNA". It matches the Rfam family "Bacterial small subunit ribosomal RNA", at positions 342 to 791 of the family's 1533-position model. Lineage: Bacteria; Pseudomonadati; Pseudomonadota; Betaproteobacteria; Burkholderiales; Comamonadaceae. The record is from RNAcentral.